Columba livia (rock pigeon) is the source of this 2412-nucleotide long non-coding RNA. RefSeq lists it as uncharacterized. The transcript has 3 exons. Lineage: Eukaryota; Metazoa; Chordata; Aves; Columbiformes; Columbidae. The record is from RefSeq and is a predicted model, not a curated record.
UAUCCUACAGAUAAGACAUGAGAACAUCUAUAUCAAAACAUCUUUGUAUACAAACACACAUCCAAACACAUGUCUCAGAUGCUAAAAUGGCAAACUUUUAAAUAAUCUGAUAAAACAGAUAAAACAUAGAGCAGAUGAAAGAAUUGCAUAGUACAUAGCAAAUCUAUUAUCCUUUUUAGUGUUUCCUUCAUUGAAGAUGUAAGAAAUGAGAUUUGUUUUAAAACUGAUGAAAGAGCAAAAUGCUGCCGUUUGGGAAGAAUGUUCUGCACAGUUAGAAAGAGAACUUGCCUAUAAAUGGUAAAAUUUGUUAUGAAUCCUGACACCCAGUAAAUGUGUUGGAUACUUAUCAGCUUUACUAAUAUUGUCAGAAGCCAGUUACUCAGGACUUGUGAAGUUUGAGUUAUCUGAAAUAACCUGAACAAGGUGGAUUUAAAAAAAUAUUAUUUAAAAAGAAAACAAGACAAAAUCAGAACCGAAAUUUUUAUUGGAAUUGGAUAUUUCAGUUUGCAUAUAUUUUAAAGUAAAAUUUGAAAUUGAAAACAUUUACAGAGACAAAAAAUAAAUAUUUUUAAAAGAAAAACAGUAAUUAAGGAUGCAGUAUGAAUUUGCUGCUUAGUUUCUAAAAAAAAAGUCAAACCACUCUUUUGCUGAAGUGGAAAACCACUAUCUGAUAGCAUCAACCACUUCCACCACAGCUCUCUAAGAAUGUGUCCCCAUAGCAGCUGCCUCUGCUCAGUGUGUUCAAUGGUGAUCACUCAAAUGCUGAGAAAUGGAGUGUAAAUUGGAAAGAGGCAAGGAAUCUCAUUUUCUUUCUUAGAUGCAAGGCUGGAUGAGAUCUACUAAUCUAAAAUCUUGAAGGGUACAGUGACUGGGAAAAUAAUUUCACUAACACCAUAAAAGAACGUAUGGGGUUUGCGUGGCCAGGUUUUAUUAGUGGGGAGGCUAUGGGGUGGCUUCUAUGAGAAUCUGCUAGGAUCUUCCCCCAUGUCUGACAGAGCCAAUGCCAGGUGGCUCUGUGAUGUACCUGCUGAUGGCCAAGGCCACGCCCAUUAGUGACAGUGGUAGCACCUCUGGGAUAACAUUUAGGAAGGGUUAAAAAGAGACAGGCAACACCAGCAACUGCAGCUGGAGAGAGGUGAGACUGCGUGGAGCAGCUCUGCAGACACCCAGGUCAGUGAAGGAGGAGGACAGGAGGGGCCCCAGGCACCGGAGCAAAGAUUCUCCUGCAGCCCAUGGUGAGGCCAGCUGUCCCCCUGCAGCCCAUGGAGGUCCAUAGUGAAGAAUAGAUCCACCUGCAGAUUGUAGAGGUUAAUGGCAGAGCAGAUCUCCACCUGAAGCCCAUGAAGGUUAAUGGAGGAGCAGAUAUCCAUCCACCUGCAGCCUAUAAAGGACCCCAUGUCAGCAUAAGCAGAUUCCCAAAGGAAGCUGUGGCUCUGUUGGAAGCUCAUACUGGAGCAGGCUCCUGGCAGGACCUAUGGAGAGAGGAGCCCACACUGGAGCAGGUUUUUCUGGUAGGACUUGUGACCCUGUAGGGGACCCAUGCUGGAGCAGUCUGUUCCUGAAGGGCUGCACUGUCCUGAGAGGUGGAGGAUAAAUAGAGAUGCUGUUUCCAGUGCCUGCUAGCACUAGCUGGCCAUGCUCUACAUAUGAAGGAGGUCUGAUAGUUCAGAGUGGCCCAUGUGGUUCAAAGUGCUGAAGCAACAGUAAACUUCUAGAUGGAAAAAAAAAAAAAAGCAUGUGAGCAUGCAAGGGACUUGAAUGGCUAUAUAACUUGAAGAAUAAUGACUCUGCAAGGCCUAAAUUGGAUGAAGGCAAACGUGUUUCAUAUUUCUAAUUUUCUAUGGGUCAUUAAUAUCAUAAUGUUUCAUUCCUUCUUCUAGGUUGCUACUAAAAUUUGUUCUGUACAGGCAGGUUUCACAAAGUAUAUUUUUAUAUGGAAAGGCUUAUGAAUAUGUGGUUUGUGAAGCAAAACACAGGCAAUAAAAAAGCAUAGGAUAAGCAGGUCUUCAGUUUUGUUGUAAUACAGCUCUAGUGUUCGUCUGCAUGUGAAUGAAUGCAUCUGAGUUUUAAACAAACAUCUGUUUCUCUUUCUUUAUCCUCAUGAUACUUCAGGUUUACUUCCAGCAGUUCUUAAGGUUCAUGUGAUAUAAGUCCAUCAUCACAGAAACAAGGAGCAUCGCUCUUGUCAAGCAAGCAGCGUAACUGUUGAUGUGCUGUAUUGAUAGGCAGAUGCCUGCGUGCAGACCUGCCCGAGCUUACCCAGUAAAAACAAAAGAAUUCAAAAUACAUGCACAGUACAUGACAAAUGUAAGUGACGAGGUUACAGUGAGUCCAGAUUACUUGGCAAAUUUAAGGUAAGCGCAGUUCUGACUUGCACAAUUCCUCUGAAGUAACAAAACCCGCUUUUCAUGC